This 397-nucleotide ribosomal RNA is filed under the name uncultured bacterium. Its description in RNAcentral is "partial 16S ribosomal RNA". It matches the Rfam family "Bacterial small subunit ribosomal RNA", at positions 523 to 918 of the family's 1533-position model. The record is from RNAcentral.
AUACGUAGGGGGCGAGCGUUGUCCGGAAUGAUUGGGCGUAAAGGGCGCGUAGGCGGCCCGGUAAGUCUGGAGUGAAAGUCCUGCUUUCAAGGUGGGAAUUGCUUUGGAUACUGCCGCGCUUGAGUGCAGGAGAGGUUAUCGGAAUUCCCGGUGUAGCGGUGAAAUGCGUAGAGAUCGGGAGGAACACCAGUGGCGAAGGCGGGUAACUGGACUGCAACUGACGCUGAGGCGCGAAAGUGUGGGGAGCAAACAGGACUAGAUACCCUGGUAGUCCACACUGUAAACGAUGAAUGCUAGGUGUAAGAGGUAUCGACCCCUUUUGUGCCGGAGUCAACACAAUAAGCAUUCCGCCUGAGUAGUACGGUCGCAAGGUUGAAACUCAAAUGAAUUGACGGGG